AGUGAACGCUGGCGGUAGGCCUAACACAUGCAAGUCGAACGGCAGCACAGUAAGAGCUUGCUCUUACGGGUGGCGAGUGGCGGACGGGUGAGGAAUACAUCGGAAUCUACUUUUUCGUGGGGGAUAACGUAGGGAAACUUACGCUAAUACCGCAUACGACCUACGGGUGAAAGCAGGGGAUCUUCGGACCUUGCGCGAUUGAAUGAGCCGAUGUCGGAUUAGCUAGUUGGCGGGGUAAAGGCCCACCAAGGCGACGUUCCGUAGCUGGUCUGAGAGGAUGAUCAGCCACACUGAAACUGAGACACGGUCCAGACUCCUACGGGAGGCAGCAGUGGGGAAUAUUGGACAAUGGGCGCAAGCCUGAUCCAGCCAUACCGCGUGGGUGAAGAAGGCCUUCGGGUUGUAAAGCCCUUUUGUUGGGAAAGAAAAGCAGCAGGUUAAUACCCCGCUGUUCUGACGGUACCCAAAGAAUAAACACCGGCUAACUUCGU
This 491-nucleotide ribosomal RNA is filed under the name uncultured bacterium. RNAcentral describes it as "partial 16S ribosomal RNA". It matches the Rfam family "Bacterial small subunit ribosomal RNA", at positions 29 to 506 of the family's 1533-position model. The record is from RNAcentral.